RNAcentral lists this ribosomal RNA (737 nucleotides) under unidentified archaeon. Its description in RNAcentral is "bacterial SSU rRNA". It matches the Rfam family "Archaeal small subunit ribosomal RNA", at positions 121 to 859 of the family's 1478-position model. The record is from RNAcentral.
UGGGGAUAAACCCGGGAAACUGGGUAUAAUACCCAAUAGAUCUCGACUGCUGGAAUGCAUCGAGCUCCAAAGCUCCGGCGCUCAAGGAUGGAUCUGCGGCCUAUCAGGUAGUAGUGGGUGUAGCGUACCUACUAGCCUACGACGGGUACGGGUUGUGAGAGCAAGAGCCCGGAGAUGGAUUCUGAGACACGAAUCCAGGCCCUACGGGGUGCAGCAGGCGCGAAAACUUUACAAUGCUGGAAACAGCGAUAAGGGGACCUCGAGUGCCAGGUUACAAAUCUGGCUGUCGUGAUGCCUAAAAAGCAUUGCAUAGCAAGGGCCGGGCAAGACCGGUGCCAGCCGCCGCGGUAACACCGGCGGCUCGAGUGGUAACCGUUAUUAUUGGGUCUAAAGGGUCUGUAGCCGGCCGGAUAAGUCUCUUGGGAAAUCUGGCAGCUUAACUGUCAGGCUUUCAGGAGAUACUGUCUGGCUCGAGGCCGGGAGAGGUGAGAGGUACUUCAGGGGUAGGGGUGAAAUCUUGUAAUCCUUGAAGGACCACCAGUGGCGAAGGCGUCUCACCAGAACGGACCUGACGGCAAGGGACGAAAGCUAGGGGCACGAACCGGAUUAGAUACCCGGGUAGUCCUAGCCGUAAACGAUACUCGCUAGGUGUCGGCAACGGUGCGACCGUUGUCGGUGCCGUAGGGAAGCCGUGAAGCGAGCCACCUGGGAAGUACGGCCGCAAGGCUGAAACUUAA